GAGCUUCAGAUUUCCGGGACUGCAGUGUUGUAACAGAUGGCCCUAGUGAUGUCGAAACUGGACUCGGUUCUUCUCUGCCGCUCCUGGAAUCUUGUAUAACCACUAUGGAAUGAAUGUUCAGUGCUGGUAGUCUCAACAGGAAAGAGAUGCUCACAUUUCCUGCUCUAAUGAAUAAAGCAGGACAUACCUGUUGUCACAGUCACAGUGUGAUAAAGUGAAGAUGUUCGUGUUGAAGACACCGUGGUCGUAUGAAAAAGAGGCAAUGGUGUCUUUACAGUGGUCGUGUUCUCUGCAGCAUUUAUCCGUAUCUUCAAAGACACCUACAGAAGACAAGCGAACAAGUCACCAAAGGCCAUAGCCUUAUUUCCUGAUCCACACCACAGAGUCCCGGGAAUCAUCCAUGCUCGCUUUGAGCGGUGCAGCGUCUGUCUGGAACUUUCUCCACUGUCCUGGUCCUCCAAUCCAUCAGGUUCCACGCUUC
This is a long non-coding RNA of Onychostoma macrolepis, 481 nucleotides long. RefSeq lists it as uncharacterized. Lineage: Eukaryota; Metazoa; Chordata; Actinopteri; Cypriniformes; Cyprinidae. The transcript has 3 exons. The record is from RefSeq and is a predicted model, not a curated record.